Non-coding RNA from Meleagris gallopavo (turkey), 5452 nucleotides. The record is from RefSeq and is a predicted model, not a curated record. NCBI's taxonomy places the organism in Eukaryota, Metazoa, Chordata, Aves, Galliformes, Phasianidae.
GUUUAAUGUUACUUUACCUGAAGCCUGUUUGUGACCCUUUCCAGAGAUCUCUUGCAUCAUUUUUGUGUGUUUGGGAUUUUUUUUUUGCUCCUAUGUCAGAGGAUCAUGACAGACAUUGAUUUCCUGCUCAGUUUAGGUCAUAGCUUGUUCCUGUUCUAGACUGUAUCUGUUAGAAAGAUUUCCAAUCUUAAUUUAAAAGGUUUCUUUUUAUGAGAGUGCAUCAGAGGCAGAGACAAGUUGUUAAAGGUGAAAUUCCAUUUGUAGGUAAAGACUUGGACCCUGUGUUUUUUGUUUGAAUUUCUGCAGGUUUGGCUCCUACUUAAGAAAUUAUGUUGUUUGCAGUGGGACUCCAUGACAUGCAGUGGGCUAAUUGGAUAGUUAAUCUUCCAGGAUCAGGGCCUUAUAUUCUUGAAGAACAUGCAUGUUGGAAAUCUCAUUUAGCAGUGUAUAUAUAUAUAUAUAUAUAUAAUUUUUUUUUAAAGAAGCCAGUGAUUCUUUUAGUGUGACUACUUUUUGAAUGCAAAAAGUUAUUUUGAAGGUAUUCUGUGGAAAAUAAUGGGGUCCAUGCUGUUGUAUAUUUGCUGCAUCUGUUUAACAUUAAUGGCAUUCCUUUGAUUAUCUGUUUAUCAGGACAGUUAUAUUUAAAAAUAGGUUAGACUUUUCAUUAAAGGAAAACAAGAUCCUUCAAGCAAUAUGUCUGCAAAAUAUUCUCUUCUUGAUUUUUUUUUUGUUUGUUUGUUUGUGUUUGGGGUGCUUUUCAUUUGGACAUCAUGAGAGUACGGUUUGUGUUUAGAACAAUACCGUGAGCACUAACAACCAGGACUAGUGAAUUGUGGUGCUCACGUCUCAGUUCAUGCAAAUUGACUGGUUCUGCUGAGGUCACAGAAUAAAUCCUGAGUUAUGUACAUCAAGAGUUUGUCCCUUUGGGAGAGCUGACAGUUUAAACUCAUUUGGUAGCUCCUAGAUCAGAUCAACCAGUGAGUAUUACAGAGUGGUGAAAUUGUAUGCAAGUAUGUGAUGUGCUUGAAGUUCUGUCAUUCAGUGCUGACAGCUGUAACUUCAGAGUACAAUUAAUGCUCUGUGGUGUCCCCCUUUUUUCCAAGAAGACAGCGUGCUGAGAAAACACACCUCCAGGAAGGUACGAAAAAGUCCCGGAAUUUCUCCAGUGAAUGCACUGCUUUAUGCUGCUGUCCUUUCUCUUUAUUACAGGCUCAGGCUUGUGUGACUAGAGUCACAUUCCCUUCACAUGGCUCAAACACCAGCAUUGUUGCCUGGGACAGGUGCUGCCCAUCCAAGACUUAAUUGCUGCUCCUUUUGCAAUUUCGGUGCAUGUCAAACUCGUUGAAAUUGACUGGUUUUUCCACCCUAGCUUUACACUGAUGUUUCUGUUAUACAACAGAAAAAAGUGAGACUUAAUAUUGGCAAAGUGCUGCGUAACUAAGAAUCAAUCUCUCAAAGAGGAGACCCGUCUCCUGCUGCCCAGUUGCUGCCUGGGUGUGCAUGAGGUGGGGGUUGCUGCCUGCCUGGAGCAUGCUGCAUGUUGGCAGACCCAGGUACCACAGGCUCGGAUGAAUUCCUUUAGGUCUGUCAGGUGCUACUGGGAGUUCAACAAAAGGGAAGGAUAGAAACUCUGAUCUUGGUGUCGUGGAUACCAUUGGUGUCACAGAAAUAGCUGACCUGAAAGCAAAACUUGAGAGUUUAUUCUGGCAAGUAGUCCUUGUCAAAGUGAAAGUUGUUUGUAUCCUUGUAAAUGAACCGACACUUUCCAUGCUAAUUGCAUCAACUUCGUUUGUACAGCUAGUUAGUAGUGUUUUAUCCUAAAGGCUCCAAAGCACAGCAGAGCCUCAGCUCAGGUGUCAGGAUCUCCAAGGUCUGUUCGACUCCAUCCAGGAGGGAGCCUGAGCAUGGUUCUCAUUGCUCAUCCCUGCUGCUAUUUGUUAAGACUUGUGGACUGGAACGGCCACAAAGCAUCCUGCAGACUGAAGAGUAGUGAGGGCCAUCUGAACUGGGUCUGCUUGGCAAACAUGGCUGCUUGCUGUAUAUAGAGAGGAUGUGAUCUCAUUUGCCUGCCUGCAGAUCUGCAGUCUCACCUGGUAGCUAGUGGGGAUGGCAGAGGAGCAGCCUGUCAGCUGGGCAGGAAGGCUGCAGGGCAGGCAGCCUGCGUCCUGCCAGGAAUAAUCUAUGGCAAUUUGAGAUGGGAUCCAGCAGUGCUCCUGGUCUGCACUGCCAAGGGAAAUGUGUGUUGUAUGCAAGAAAUCAGCGUGGGGGAUCCUCCAGAAAGCUAUUAGUGGGAGAGAUUCUUAUUAGCAUCUGCUAAAACUUAGCUUGUGUCCAUUAACAUCUGGUAUCUCUUCAGUAUUCCGCUAGUGUAAGCUCAUUUACAUCUCACAUCACAAGCGUCACCAUCACAGUGCAUGGCUUCUGGUCUGCUGCUGUUCACUUUUCUUUAUGUGUAUCUUUAUAAACACAUAUACUAUGAAAUACUUUAAUUAUUUUAUCUUCUUAAUAUAUGUAUAUAGGUAUUUGUGCAACUAAAAUAUUCUUUAAAAGAUUAUUACUUGCAACAUAUCAGUAAGAAAAUGAUGAAAAAUGAUUGGAAUGAUUCUUUAAUCUGAGUAUUAGAUUUCCUUUUUGAGUUAGGCAUGCAAUACCCAAGCAGCUGUGGCAAACCCAAGUGGAAGACUUUACAGUGUCAUUAAGAAGAGCUUUACUGAUAAAUACUACAAAUAAUUACUGGUCUAAGACAUCAGAGUUUUGAUGGCUGUUUUUAAAUAGUGUUCCUUAGGCUAAAUGUCCAUAUAGUGUGAAAUAAUGCAAUUAAACACUGAGUUACGUGGUCAUGUUUGUCAGUAGGGUGCUUAAUGAAUUUAUAAAAGGGCAAGAUCUCUAGAGGAGGAAAUGCUCUGUUUUCUUGUGUUCCUUUUUUUUCUAUUGGGACUUCUCAUCUAAAUGAGUACGGGAGGACAGGUGUGACAUUAAUGUGAUGUACUUCAGGUCUGUCUUUGCAUUUUGGGCUGAUUUCAGUUUUGAGAAGGCUGUUUUGAUGCAGACCACAAGAAGUAAGCCCAGUUUUGUGGCCACGUGUGGGGAAGGGCUUAAAGACAUGCUGCCUCUCCUUCAGUGUAAGGAUUGUGCCCUCUUCUGGGGACACAGUAUGCACCAGCUCAAGGUCAGGUGAAGCCAACUGGUGUGUUACGUGUUCACAGCACCCUCCCAGUCUGCCCUUUGGUUCUGAUGCAAAUCUGGACGCUGCAGAGUGAGUCUGUAAGGAUACAGAGCCAUGGCUUCCAACAAGCAUGAUUCAAUUUGAAGCUGCCUUGUUAUGUGGUUGCUCUGAGUUCACAUCAUCCUUAAGAAAACGGGCAAUUUUCCAGAAAUCAACGUGCCAGAACGGCUGGGAGGAAGAGCUCAGUGAGCACCCAUGUCGGUGUGUGAGCAGGAGAGACCCUUUCCUCCCCCCGGGCUGUCCCAGGGCAGGCUGUGUGUCAGGGUUUUGUUCCUGCCUCCCCCUUCCCGCUGCCGGUACCGGGCUGCAGCUGCACGGCGGAGGUAACCAGCGCUCCCAUUAAACAGUCACGUUUUCCAGAGAGCUUUGUUGUAGUUGGAGGAGGAUGCAUGGGAAGUACAGCUGCAGAAUGAUUUAACGAUGGCUCGGUAAUUCCUGGGAUAUUGCGUUAAGUGAAGUUCAUGAAUAAACAUUAGUAGAAAAAGAAUCGUAUUUGCUUUUCUCCUCUCUAGAUUUCUACUUUGGAGCGCUGUCUACCACCCGAGCUUUCACACAUCCCAUGGCUGGUGAAGUCAUGCUGCCUGAUGGAUGACUUGCAUUGUUUUAUUUAGUCUAGGUUCAGCUCUGCAUUGUGGUGUGGCUUCCUUUGGGAGUCUGCAGUGCAAGCUCACAGAUCUCACUGUUAGCGCACAAUUAUUGAGAUACGUUUUAAAUCACAGGAGUGACUUGCUGGGAUUUCCAGCAAUCUUUUAUGAGAAUGAGAAUGAACAAGGGGAGCUUAUUAGUUUUGAUAAUGUUUCAGAAAAUGUCAGGAGCUCUGAGAACUGAGGCAUGUUAGCCUUGAUGGGUACAAAAAAAGUAAUGAUAAAAGCAUGACUGAGGAGCUGUCGUGCUUUGCAGCCUCUGUCACCCAAGGCUCUGCUGAACACCAACUGCCUGGGAGCAGUGGAGUGAUGCUGCUGAGAUGGGUAAUGCUUUCUCGUGUCCUUUUGUUCAGAUAUUUUUCAUUAAUAGUAACGUGUGCUCAUUAAUAAUCGCAAAAAAAUGCCUUUCUCCAUCUGUCCUGCUUCAUGAGAACCUGCUGUGUAAAAUAAUGCUGAUAAUGGAGAGCCCCCCUGGGCCUCAUACAGUCAUUGACGUGUUUCUGUUCUGCCUGUACCUAGCUGGAGUUGUGCUUCUGAUUUCACAGUGCAGUUUGUGUUGGAAAACGUGACCUACAGUCCUGAAAGUCAGACCUCUGGGGAGUGUGGCCAAAGUAAUCGUUUUCUUAUGAGAAUCUGUGGAGGCCUCCUGAUUUGGUCCAUCAGUUGGCUUACAACAGGUUAGUGGGGAGCUUUCUUUGGGGACUUUCUGUCUUGUUUCCUGAUUCAGUGAUACUUUCCAAGCCUUUAGGUGAAUCCGCACAAGUUACUCACUAAGCAAAACAGUGGAGCCAGUCAUAGAGUACAAGUUAAGAAAAAUCAGGUAUGUUCUCAUCUUCACUUUUAUCGAAUAUGCUGAAUAAAGUAAGAUCUCAGCACUACAAAAAAGCCCUACAAUACAAUAACUUUUCCAUAUUGCUUUAACAUUUUCACUUAGGAAGUUGUCUAUGAUCUUUUUGGGACCUUCUGCAGAAGAAGGAGGGUGGCAGGUUGGCUUGAGCCCACCACCCUGUUCCAGGCAGCCACAGCCUAAGGAGGGCAGCCAAUGCCUGCAACCCCUUCUCCCAGUGCCUGGCACCUGGUGGGCAGCUGGUCAGACUCUCCGGAAGCACUGAUGUGCCUGGGGCCCUUCAUUGCACAACAGUGUCUGCUGUUACCCACUUUGUGUCUGUGAUUGACAAAUUUAUGUGUUUGCAGGUGCAGAUGUACUCCCACUGCAGGUGGGAAUCUGCCCUUUUAUGAGAACCUGCUGCUGGUGGUGCAUUUCCUUUAUUUUAAAAUGUUUUAUGGACACACGUACAGCUGAAAACGAAUUGUUGGACCUUCAGCACAGAAGUGAAAGAGCAUCACACGACUGCUGUUCCAAGCACUGCAGUGAGCUUCCUGUGUCACAAAUAAGCACCGACACUUCCCUUUUCUCAUCUUCCUUGUCACUCCGCCAGCUCAGCUGCUCUGAAAAGGUCCUGCGGCAGUUGUACAGCUGUCGUGUGGGACCGUGGUCCUGCCGAGUGGUCAUGGUGGGCAAAGGAGGAGGAAAACGCAUUUACAAAGAAUAAAACAGCUUAGAAUUCAUUUUAAGUGGAAA